UGAGUACGAGAUGCUACGGCAUCGAAGCAGUCUAUGUCAUACUUCCAAGAAAAGCUUGCAAUGUCAUAAACAAAUAAUGCCUGUACCAUAACCGACACAGGUGGGUAGGUAGAGUAUACUAAGGGGCGCGAGAUAACUCUCUCUAAGGAACUCGGCAAAAUGACUCCGUAACUUCGGGAGAAGGAGUGCCCUAUUUUUAUAAGGUUGCAAUAACAAGAUCCAAGCAACUGUUUACCAAAAACACAGGUCUCCGCUAAGUCGUAAGACGAUGUAUGGGGGCUGACGCCUGCCCAGUGCCAGAAGGUUAAAGAAGUUGGUUAGCAUUAGCGAAGCUGAUAACUGAAGCCCUGGUGAACGGCGGCCGUAACUAUAACGGUCCUAAGGUAGCGAAAUUCCUUGUCGGGUAAGUUCCGACCCGCACGAAAGGCGUAAUGAUUUGGAUACUGUCUCGGAGAGGGGCUCGGUGAAAUAGACUUGUCUGUGAAGAUGCGGACUACCUGCACCUGGACAGAAAGACCCUAUGAAGCUUUACUGUAACUUGAGAUUGAAAUUGGACUUUAUCUGCGCAGUAUAGGUGGGAGACGUUGAAAAUAUUCUUGCGGGAAUAUUGGAGUCAUCAGUGAGAUACCACUCUUAUAAUGUUAGAUUUCUAACUUUGUAUCAUUAUCUGGUCAAAGAACAGUUUCAGGCGGGCAGUUUGACUGGGGCGGUCGCCUCCCAAACGGUAACGGAGGCGCACAAAGGUUUCCUCUGAACGUGUAGAAAUCGUAUCUAGAGUGUAAAGGCAUAAGGAAGCUUGACUGUGAGACCUACAAGUCGAGCAGGGACGAAAGUCGGUCUUAGUGAUCUGACGGUGCUGAGUGGAAAGGCCGUCACUCAACGGAUAAAAGUUACUCUAGGAUAACAGGCUGAUCUCCCCCAAGAGUUCACAUCGACGGGGAGGUUUGGCACCUCGAUGUCGGCUCAUCGCAUCCUGGGGCGGUAGUACGUCCCAAGGGUUGGGCUGUUCGCCCAUGAAAGCGGUACGCGAGCUGGGUUCAGAACGUCGUGAGACAGUUCGGUCCAUAUCCGGUGUAGGCGUUAGAAUAUUGAGAGGAGCCUUCUUUAGUACGAGAGGACCGAGAAGGACAUACCUCUGGUGUACCAGUUAUCGUGCCAACGGUAAACGCUGGGUAGCCAUGUAUGGAGAGGAUAACCGCUGAAAGCAUCUAAGUGGGAAGCCCACCUCAAGAUAAG
RNAcentral lists this ribosomal RNA (1236 nucleotides) under metagenome. RNAcentral describes it as "bacterial LSU rRNA". It matches the Rfam family "Bacterial large subunit ribosomal RNA", at positions 1564 to 2808 of the family's 2925-position model. The record is from RNAcentral.